CUUACGGAAAAGGUUAUCUUUUCCUGUAGCAAGGGCCAGGAAUUAACCGAUAGCAGUUCCUGACAAGCACUAAACUCAUUUCAGGAAUGUAAUUUGGACUUUUUUUUUUUCCAACCUGGUAUUUUCAGAGAGAUAUCAAAGCACACAGUGGUAAAGGCUUGCCUUUAAAUAGCCAGGGCUUUCUCUUGGUGAAGUACUCCAACUUUUGCUCCACACACCUGUGCUUAGUGUGACAUUUAGGUAAUAAUGCUGAAGAAGAUGGCAAUCUAUUCAGCAGUGCUGGCUCUGAUUCUGGUCAACCUGCUAAAGGCACAAGGCACACCUGUUACCCCUGUGCUUGAGGAAACGAGCGUGGAGCAAAGCAAUGAUCUCAACAUGCAAUCAAGCAGCGAGUUCCCUGUGGAAUACAGCAGAGACCCAUACAAAGAGGAAGGCAUGGAGCAAUCUGGGAACACUGGAGUACAGGAAGUGGAACAGGCCAUUUGGGAGAUAAGUGGAGAGCCAAGUACUGAAACCACCCCUAACUCAAGUGCGGAGUCAAACGAAGAACCAACUCAGAAGCCAACCACUGAACUAUCUGAAUAAACAGCAGCAUUAUAUCCUGAUGGAAAAGCAAUGGCCGCUCUUACCUGCAGAGUUGAUAUCAGCACUAUCAGAUGGUAUUAAAGCAUACAAAUAGUGCAUGCAACAAGCUGGAUGGAAGGGCAGAAUUCACUGCAGCUCACUGUGAAACUACAACUUGUAGGAAAAUAGCCUAGAAAUGCUGUCUAAUUCUUGCUUACUUAAACAGUUAAACUAGAUCACAAGUAACCUGUGCUCUUUUGCUUGCAUAAUAAUGUGAAAUAAAGAAUGUCAGUGCAAAUAUAUGUCUUGUCA
RNAcentral lists this long non-coding RNA (876 nucleotides) under Chrysolophus pictus (golden pheasant). Its description in RNAcentral is "lncRNA (ENSCPIG00010008914.1)". The record is from RNAcentral. Lineage: Eukaryota; Metazoa; Chordata; Aves; Galliformes; Phasianidae.